UACGUAGGGUGCAAGCGUUGUCCGGAUUUAUUGGGCGUAAAGAGCUCGUAGGCGGUCAGUCGCGUCGAUCGUGAAAGCCCGAGGCUCAACCUCGGAAUUGCGGUCGAUACGGGCUGACUAGAGUUCGGUAGGGGAGACUGGAAUUCCUGGUGUAGCGGUGAAAUGCGCAGAUAUCAGGAGGAACACCGAUGGCGAAGGCAGGUCUCUGGGCCACUACUGACGCUGAGAAGCGAAAGCAUGGGGAGCAAACAGG
This 253-nucleotide ribosomal RNA is filed under the name uncultured bacterium. RNAcentral's name for it is "partial 16S ribosomal RNA". It matches the Rfam family "Bacterial small subunit ribosomal RNA", at positions 524 to 776 of the family's 1533-position model. The record is from RNAcentral.